Long non-coding RNA from Suricata suricatta (meerkat), 536 nucleotides. RefSeq lists it as uncharacterized. Lineage: Eukaryota; Metazoa; Chordata; Mammalia; Carnivora; Herpestidae. The transcript is spliced from 5 exons. The record is from RefSeq and is a predicted model, not a curated record.
AUCAUGCCUGCCUGCUUCGUUCAUUAUUAUAUCACGAGCGCCUAGUAUUGUGCCCCACACAUGUGUGGCUUACCAGGAGAACUGCUCUGCUGCCCCAGCACCUGCAGCAUCUGGGGCGAGAGGAAGAAUGAGCAGGACUACAGGUGGGGAUGAGGCAGAUGGUGACUACGCAAUGAAAUCCUCACAAAUACAGCAAAAUGAGAAAAAGAAUCAAGAGGCAUAAACAUAAGGAAGUGAGCCAAUUCUAUGUCUGCCUGUGCUCAAACCUACUCCUGAAGUGCCUCAUGCUUUGCUCUAAAUCGUAAUUGUCCUGUUUGUUCCAUUUUUGGAUGACAUGAAGAAAUUCUACUCUCGAAUACUCACUGUGAUUUUCUUCUCUCUGGAAAGAAAGACAACUCCUGACCGCAAGUUUUUUCUACUAUGACUUAUUUGUAAUGUCUUGAAAAAACUGAUGGUAUCUUGGUUGCCCUUUGUCAACAUCCUUCAUCUACCUUUUGUAAAGGGCAAGUUUUGAAUUGAAAAAUUGGGUCUAAGUA